AAGAUACUGAUGGUUGUCAAGCAAUCACAAGAUCAACUUCAAAAGCCCAACAUGACAAACUUUUUUGAGGCUGCAAAAAGAAUGAUAAUUGGCUUUCCUCCUAAACACAAACAAAUUUUACAAACUUUGCAUGAGCAUAACAAAACUCUUCAGUCAGCCAAUUCAAAAGCACUGUUAAUUAGCAUCCCACAUGAAGCCAAUCCUACUAAUUGCAUGUUAUUAUAAGAAAGCCUAUUCGACCAAUUACAACAAAUUACAUUCUGCAAUUGCAAAUGCCCAUAUUCUAGCUGAGUAUGGUUCCCUUCCAGAAGAGUAUAAGAACACUAAAACCAUUUUUGACCAAUCACAACAAUUACAUUCUUCAAUUGCAAAAGCUAAGAGUAUGGUUCCCUUGGAGAAGAGUAUCAGUACAUUAAAAACCUAAUCAAUUAGAAUACCAGAGCUUGCUCAUGACACUGCCAAAAUGCGGAUCCAAAAUCCAGAACCAUUUCAUGUAUGAAAUUGAUGAACCAACAAGCUGAACUCAUUGAAACUGACUAUCAAGUCAGGACCCCCAAUAAUCUGACAUACCAUACAUCAUAUACUACUCUUGUGCAGAAUAAGAACCGAUAGAAGAAACUAGAACUCAUCCUGAGCAGACCAAGAAUCAACUAAAGAAACUAAGAAACCCAAAUUCUGCUUUCCUUUUAUAAUUAAUGUUUCAAACACAAUGAUAACUAACAGCCCAGAUCUUACCUUUACUGAUUAGCUUUGCUUUCACAACAAAUGUUUCAAAUAUUAGCAAACACUAAACCCUUUCUUGCAGCUAUUAUUAUUGACAUAGUUCUCUGCGCGACCUUCUAGGUUCAUAAAAAAAUAGAAUUUUAUAACAAUAAUAAAACUACUAAAGGAUGCUUAAGUUCAUGACAGACCACAUCUCAGUCGAUGAUACCAAAGAACCCUAACAACACGAAAGAAGAAAAAUCAACUAAGUAGUUUAGUAAUAUCAGGAAACACAAAACAGCUGAAACAACAAGGUGGUGCUUUUAUCCCAUGGUUCUUGCAUAAGAGCUCAUAAACAUGGGCUCACAACGAUAUUCCUUAUACACAUGACAGGUCCUUCUUAUCAAAUUACCUACAAUAUAUAAUAUAAAGAGAAGUGUUUAUAUUGUUAACAGAUGCUCCCUUUGUAUACAACAAGAAGAAAAUAUCCUAUAGUUAUCUGCUAUCAGUUAAUGAUCUCAGGAAUACUGUAUGUAUCCCGUAGUUAUCUACUUUCAUAAUACGAUGUACUCACAGCUAGUCUAGGCAUGUCUAGAUAUUAUUUUUCAUUUAUUGAGUAUAGUAAGGAGUCAUAGUCUACGACAUGUAUAGUCAUGACUACCUUUUUGUUUGACUACUCUUAGAGAUGAGUUUGCUGGAAUGAGACAAUUCCGCCUUUUUGAGGUGGGGUGCACUCUCUUAGACUGUUUUAAAGAGAUAUCAGGCUUUUGUCUAUGACU
RNAcentral lists this long non-coding RNA (1481 nucleotides) under Musa acuminata (dwarf banana). RNAcentral's name for it is "long non-coding RNA (MACU_LNC010735)". The record is from RNAcentral. Lineage: Eukaryota; Viridiplantae; Streptophyta; Magnoliopsida; Zingiberales; Musaceae.